This 504-nucleotide ribosomal RNA is filed under the name Crepipatella lingulata. Its description in RNAcentral is "partial 16S ribosomal RNA". Lineage: Eukaryota; Metazoa; Mollusca; Gastropoda; Littorinimorpha; Calyptraeidae. The record is from RNAcentral.
AAAAUUUUAAUGGUCGAACAGACCAACCCUUAAAGAUUUCUGCACCUUUAGGAUAUUCUGGUCCAACAUCGAGGUCACAAACCUUUUUUUCGAUAAGAACUCUUAAAAAAGAUAAUGCUGUUAUCCCUACGGUAACUAUUUUCGUUAAUCAAAUCUUUUGGAUCAAUACGAGUAAGUAUUUAUAAAAUCAAGGAAGUUUUGCUUGUUCCUCAGUCGCCCCAACCAAAAUUUUUAAUAGUUAUUUUUUAAAAUAUUACUUUUAUCUACUAAAUUUUUUUAAGCUCGAUAGGGUCUUCUUGUCUUUUAAUUUUAUUCAAACCUCUUCAUUUGAAAGUAAAAUUUUAUUAAAUGUAAAAGAGACAGUUUUGCUCUUGUGAAACCAUUCAUUCCAGUCCUCAAUUAUAGAACAAAUUAUUAUGCUACCUUAGCACAGUUAGGAUACUGCGGCCGUUAAAAAAAAUCACUGGGCAGGUCGGACUCUUUAUAUUUAAUUGACAAAGAGCC